CAGUCGCCACGGUAAUACGUAGGGUGCGAGCGUUAAUCGGAAUUACUGGGCGUAAAGCGUGCGCAGGCGGUUGUGUAAGACAGGUAUGAAAUCCCCGGGCUUAACCUGGGAACUGCGCUUGUGACUGCACAGCUAGAGUAUGGCAGAGGGGGGUGGAAUUCCACGUGUAGCAGUGAAAUGCGUAGAGAUGUGGAGGAACACCGAUGGCGAAGGCAGCCCCCUGGGAUAACACUGACGUUCAUGCCCGAAAGCGUGGGUAGCAAACAGGAUUAGAUACCCGAGUAGUCCCUGUCUCUUAUAC
Molecule: ribosomal RNA, 301 nt
Filed under: uncultured bacterium
Lineage: Bacteria
Description: partial 16S ribosomal RNA
Rfam family: Bacterial small subunit ribosomal RNA
Source: RNAcentral